CCAAAUUUUAAACUUCAGCCGUAGAUUUGUUAUCUUUACCUAGCAUUAAUAUUGGCUGCCUCACAUCCAUGCACCCACUGGAUCUAUAUAUAUCACAUGAAACCAGAAAUAAGGACUCACUCAGGCUCACCUACUCACUUUUGAUUGCGGUUCUCCAGAAGCUAACAGAGAUCGUUUCUGCUUUGAAGAAAAUGGAAACUCCUUACACAGGUUAAUUUUUAGGCCAUGUUCAAUUGAAUGUAAUUUAUAAUUCUAAUUUUAAUAUAUGUGUUUGUGAAUAAGUUUUUUAUCAUCAAUUUUUCAGGUAAGAAAGAAUGGUCAGAGGGUGCAUUGAUUAUUCUAAUAGUUAGUAUGUUUGAUGAUGAGAAAAUAAAUGACAAUGAUCUUGAUCUUCUUGCCGUCCCUCAAUACGGGAGGUACCCUGAUUACACUGGUUAAUUAG
RNAcentral lists this long non-coding RNA (442 nucleotides) under Citrus x clementina. RNAcentral's name for it is "Citrus clementina (C. clementina) long non-coding RNA (CCLE_LNC000066)". Lineage: Eukaryota; Viridiplantae; Streptophyta; Magnoliopsida; Sapindales; Rutaceae. The record is from RNAcentral.